Molecule: transfer RNA, 68 nt
Filed under: Marmota monax (woodchuck)
Lineage: Eukaryota; Metazoa; Chordata; Mammalia; Rodentia; Sciuridae
Description: tRNA.Ala
Source: RNAcentral
GCUAGGUUGUGGCUCAGUGGUAAAGCACUCGCCUAGCACGUGUGAGGCACUGGAUUCAAUACUUAGCA